AUGCCAAGACAGUUUCUUGGUAAGAAGGUGAGGUCACAGGAGGCUCCACCCGCAUCCUCAACUACGCCAACAAGGGCGGCCACGGCGGCAGCCUCAAGAACGCCAACAACGGCGGCUCCACCAUCGACUGUAAUAACAUCAACUGGUGCAGUGGCGGCCUCAAGCCAUGUGCGGUCGAGGACGCCGACACACUGUGACUGUUCCACGGGAAUGACGACAGUGGUGGCUCCGUCUGAGGCUUCUAUAACGUCAACUGACGCAAUGGCGGACUCAAGCCAUGUUCAGUCGAGGAUGCCCACGCCAAAUGUUUGUUCCUCAAGCAUGACAUCAAUAGUGGUUCCGUCCAUGGAUUCAAGAGCUUCGACUAACGCAACGACUGCCUCAAGCCAUAUGCGGUCGAUGGCGCCGACACCAGGUGAGGGGUCCUCAAGAAUAACAUCAAUGGUAACUCCAUCCGCUGCUUCAGAAAAGUCAAUUGGUGCAAAGCCUGCCUCAAGAGGGUCGAGAACGUCGACGCCAAAUGAUUGUUCCUCAAGAAUGACAUCAAUGGUGGUUCCGUCCAGGGACUCAAUAGCCUCAACUAACGCAACAACGACCUCAAGCCAUAUGCGGUCGAUAGCGUCGACACCAGGUGAGGGGUCCUCAAGAAUGACAUCAAUGAUAGCUCCAUUUGCUGCCUCAGUAAAGUCAACUGGUGCAAUGGCUGCCUCAAGAGGGUCGAGGAUGUCGAUGCCAAGUGAUUGUUCCUCAAGAAUGACAUCAAUGGUGGUACCGUCCAGGGACUCAAUAGCAUCGACUAACGCAACAGCGACCUCAAGCCAUAUGCGGUCGAUGGCGCCGACACCAGGUGAGGGGACCUCAAGAAUGACAUCAAUGGUAACUCCAUCCGCUGCCUCAGUAAAGUCAACUGGCGCAAUGGCUGCCUCAAGAGGGUCGAGGACGUCGACGCCAAAUGAUUGUUCCUCAAGAAUGACAUCAACGGUGGUUCCGUCCAGGGACUCAAUAGCAUCAACUAAUGCAACGACUGCCUCAAGCCAUAUGCGGUCGAUGGCGCCGACACCUAGUGACACUAGUAGAUAA
RNAcentral lists this ribosomal RNA (1080 nucleotides) under Triticum aestivum (bread wheat). RNAcentral describes it as "partial small subunit ribosomal RNA". The record is from RNAcentral. Lineage: Eukaryota; Viridiplantae; Streptophyta; Magnoliopsida; Poales; Poaceae.